Molecule: transfer RNA, 93 nt
Filed under: bacterium
Lineage: Bacteria
Description: tRNA-Ile
Rfam family: tRNA
About the family: Transfer RNA (tRNA) molecules are approximately 80 nucleotides in length. Their secondary structure includes four short double-helical elements and three loops (D, anti-codon, and T loops). Further hydrogen bonds mediate the characteristic L-shaped molecular structure. tRNAs have two regions of fundamental functional importance: the anti-codon, which is responsible for specific mRNA codon recognition, and the 3' end, to which the tRNAs corresponding amino acid is attached (by aminoacyl-tRNA synthetases). tRNAs cope with the degeneracy of the genetic code in two manners: having more than one tRNA (with a specific anti-codon) for a particular amino acid; and 'wobble' base-pairing, i.e. permitting non-standard base-pairing at the 3rd anti-codon position.
Source: RNAcentral
GCUUGUGUGACCAGAAUUAGGUAAUGGCCUCUCUUGAUAAGGGAGCAUGGGAGUUAAAUCCCUUUGUAGGUUCAAGUCCUACCGCAAGCACCA